This is a long non-coding RNA of Oxyura jamaicensis (ruddy duck), 568 nucleotides long. RefSeq lists it as uncharacterized. The record is from RefSeq and is a predicted model, not a curated record. The transcript is spliced from 4 exons. NCBI's taxonomy places the organism in Eukaryota, Metazoa, Chordata, Aves, Anseriformes, Anatidae.
GUAACAUCAGUCAGCAUCCUGCUCUGCCGCAGAGCAUUCAGCUGCCUCAGCAGUUCGGAGGAGAAGUCCUGGUCUUUGAAGAGGAACUCCUCAGCAGAUCCCUCCUCCAUAGCAAAGUCGGUCUGAGGAGACACCAAGAGUUUCUUUAGAAGAGUGGGACGUGCUUUGUGCAAUGUGCCCUGUUUCUACAAGGAACCCUCGGGUCUGAUCCAAGGUCCACUGAUGCCAGUGGGAGGAGAAGAGAAGAAAGCAGGAGGUCCAAAAAGCUUGGACCCAGCUUAAUAGUGGGACUUAAGCAGAUAAGUCAGCUUCAUUUUAAGGCUAUCUCAAUAGCUGUCACCUAUGUACAGAACCCCAAGAAUGAGGGCAAGAUGGGGGCAAGAACUAAAAUGAAAGCUCUCAACAAUUUUUUUUUUUUUUUUUUACCAAGAGUGAGCAGGUGCAUAAUAGCUAGUUCCCUGCCUUACCUCCAGCACAGUGACCAAUAUCUUCCUCAGGGAGCCACUUGUGUCACUUUUCACAUCAGACUCUAGAUCCCUAUCAAAGACUGUGGAGGAAAAAAGAAAUC